CAAUGGCUGUUACAAAGAGUAGCUGAAACGCAAGUUUAUAGCCAAUCUCAUAAAAGCAGUCUCAGUUCGGAUUGAAGUCUGCAACUCGACUUCAUGAAGUUGGAAUCGCUAGUAAUCGCGAAUCAGCAUGUCGCGGUGAAUACGUUCUCGGGGUUUGUACACACCGCCCGUCAAACCACGAAAGUUGGUAAUACUCAAAAACGGUAGCCUAACUUCUUCGGAAGAGGGAACCGUCUAAGGUAGGAUCGAUGAUUGGGGUUAAGUCGUAACAAGGUAUCCCUACCGGAAGGUGGGGAUGGAUCACCUCCUUUCUAAGGAAUAAUUUUUUAAAUAUUCAUCUUCAGUUUUGAAAGACUUAGUUCUUAUAAGUUUUUCUUUUUUAAGGAAAAGAAAAUGGGCCUAUAGCUCAGUUGGUUAGAGCACACGCCUGAUAAGCGUGAGGUCGAUGGUUCAAGUCCAUUUAGGCCCCCCAACCGAAAAAAACGUCUUUUUUCUAAUUCUUAAAAAAAAAGUUCUUUGAAAAGUAGAUAAACAAAGUAUUUUUUAAAAAUCAAAGGAAUGCAAGG
Molecule: unclassified non-coding RNA, 566 nt
Filed under: Candidatus Phytoplasma sacchari
Lineage: Bacteria; Bacillati; Mycoplasmatota; Mollicutes; Acholeplasmatales; Acholeplasmataceae
Description: partial contains 16S ribosomal RNA and 16S-23S ribosomal RNA intergenic spacer
Rfam family: Bacterial small subunit ribosomal RNA (bases 1-311)
Source: RNAcentral